UAGCUCAUCAAGGUGGGUUCCUCCAGCAAGAACCCAGCCAGGGCUUUUGGGUGGCUGGGUUACUGCCUGAGUGUCGUUGCUGCUUGGGAGUGAGCCUGGAAGGAGUCUGUUGGUGCUUGCAGGUCUCCUUCUUGGUCCUCCUGUGAGAAGUGUUUUAUUAUUGCAGAAAUGGCACUUAGCUGUCCGUUGCUAGUUGUCAACAAAGCAAUGAACUACAGAUAAAAGUGCAUGAAACAAUCCUGUUGAAAAAUAGGGUCUGAGCCUUCCCUGCUGCAACUUUUGGCUUCCCAUGGGGUGCAGCAUUGAUGCUUUGUGGCUGAACAAAGCCAGCCUGUUGUAAAACCAGUGUGGAACUUUCAUCUGCUGCUCAAGUGUUCCUCUGUGGCUUCUGCCUUAUGUGUGUGGAAUUGAGGCUGACCCACGUUGAGAUGGGAUGGCGUUGUACUGCCUAACUCUUGUCCAAGGACAAAGAAGAGGAGUUUGGCUGUCUUGACAAUGACUGGUUCUGCAGUAGGGGUUUUUUGUGAUGUCAUUGGGAACAACUUGGUUGGUAUGUAUUCAGUGAACCCUUUUAGCUACACAGUGCUCUAUUUAAUAAUAAUGUUUAAGUCCUCAGAUAUAAAGAGCUCUUUCUGCUGAAGAGUACUGAGUCUUAUCCUCACUUAUCCUGUUACAGGGAGCCAUGGUUCCUCGCCUUUCUGCUGGGAGCACAUUAGACCUUGUGUAGGGCCUGGGUUUGUUGCCCUGACUGCAUCACAGCGUGACAGCUUACAUAGGAGCAACUAGGGGAUGGGACUGGCGUGCCAUCACCCAGCAGCUGGAGCCCACCGUGAGGUCCUUUGUCCCUUACCUGUGAUUUAAGACCUGACAGCAGCAGGGUGAGGAUCUGUACCUGUCAGGCACAGUGCCACUCCUGGGGAGACAGGUGGCACUUGUCACUGCUGCAGCUGGGGCCAUCCCCCAUCCAUGGGGCUGCAGAACCCAGUUGGCAGCUGGGACACCAUAGGAAUCCAGCCCAGAGAUAUGGAGCGUUGGCUUUAGCAGAUGGAAAUAAAUACACUGAAUGCAGCCCAAGAUGUUUGUGCUAGCUAACUGUGUGUGUGGAGGUAUUCCUGUGUCCAUGGUUUGUUCUCUUUCACAUCAUGAAACACAGUGGAGUUCUGGCAGCCGGGGGGAGCCCAAGGAGCUCCUCCAGUUUGAGCUCCAAGCCCCUUCUCUUUUCUCUGUGCCACACGGUAUCUGGUUUGCUGGUUGUGGGUUUAUACAAUUGACUUUGUGAUUUCAGGGAUUUCCCAAGCAAACAAGCAAACCAUCAAUAUUGCUCUAACAGAGUGUUGGUGUUUAUCUAUGCUUUUGCAGGAACACAGAUUAGAAUUACUGACUUUAAAUGAAACACCACCGGCAGGCGUGGUUUGUGCUAUGGGCUCAGGAUGCUCUGCUGCUAUCAGCCCUUUGUAGAGUGGGUUGUCUUGGGUGUAGUGAUGUGCUGAGCUGUCUGCCUGUACAGCACAUCACAUAACAACUGCUUGAGUUGCAUAAAUAUGUAUACAUGUGUCAUUUUUG
Long non-coding RNA from Tympanuchus pallidicinctus (lesser prairie-chicken), 1563 nucleotides. RefSeq lists it as uncharacterized. The record is from RefSeq and is a predicted model, not a curated record. The transcript has 3 exons. NCBI's taxonomy places the organism in Eukaryota, Metazoa, Chordata, Aves, Galliformes, Phasianidae.